This 1114-nucleotide long non-coding RNA is filed under the name Callithrix jacchus (white-tufted-ear marmoset). Its description in RNAcentral is "lncRNA (ENSCJAG00000073248.1)". Lineage: Eukaryota; Metazoa; Chordata; Mammalia; Primates; Cebidae. The record is from RNAcentral.
AUAUUGGGCUGGGGGCUGUGCUGAGGAGUGAGUUAAGGGAGGUACCCAACUAGACAUUCCUGGAGGGACAGAGGAAAGGCAAGUUUAGGGGCAUAGACCUGGACCCACUGUUCAGCAAGAGAAUGAUUUGCCAGAGAGGUGAUAAGCACCUUGUCUCUGGAGGUAUUCAAGUCAGUGUUCAUCACCACUGGGCAGAGACAAGGAAGAGCUAAGGCACCAGGACCUCCAAGGAUUCUUCUUGAUUCUCUGUGUCUGGGGGGAUGCCUGAUGAUUUCAUUUCUUCUGUUGGGGUGAUCUUGGCCUUGCAGAGAAGAGGGUGAGAAGCCCCACAUUGGCAUUGGGGGCCCUGUUGAGAACAGGGAACAGCAACUUCUGGUGAGGGCCAAUCAUGUUUGUCUUCCCUGAAUCUCAGAUGGCGCUGUUGACUCUCCCACAGCUCAGCACCUGGUUUUGACAGAGCCAUGGAAAGUCACGUCUCUGGGGUUGCAAGUGAUCAGAAAAGAUGAGCAACCCAUUACCCAAGAGGCGAAAGACAAGGGGGCUGCGAGAGGCACCCUGGGUGACGCGGCCACCUUAAGAGGCUGGGACCCUAAGAUGGAGCCACCUCUCCCAGCUUGCAGCUGCCGACUGGAUUCAGGUCUCCUCUCCAGUGACUCCACUCCACCUGCUGGCUGACUUGCCACUGUUUGAGACCUACCCUCCACCUUCCUCCUCCAGAGGAUCAACUCCCGCACCUUUCAGCUCCAAUGCUAUCUCCCCUGAGAAGUCAGACAUGUGCUCCUUCGAAACCUUCUCAGCACCCUUCUCUGUCCGGUCCUGCUGGGGUGGAAGCACAUGUUUCUCUGGUCUGUCCAUUAGAGGAUGAACUCAUUGGAUAAGAUGGCGUCUGAUUCCUUGCUGUUGCUGGUUCCCAGCUCGGGGCCUGCACACAUCAGAAACGAAGUCAACACUUGCUGACUUGGAUGGGCCACUAGCCAUGUGGGGUGGGCCAGCGAGAAACCCCCGAGGAAAAGCAGGGAGCCUCCCUCUUGACGGCUGGCUGCUGACCUUGGAUCUGUUUUCUUUUCUUCCUGGUUUGUGCCACACUUGGAGUGUGUUGGACCGUGGGCUGAGU